AAGGGCGUGCAGCCGGGUCUGCAAGUCAGAUGUGAAAUCCACGGGCUCAACUCGUGAACUGCAUUUGAAACUGUAGAUCUUGAGUGUCGGAGAGGUAAUCGGAAUUCCUAGUGUAGCGGUGAAAUGCGUAGAUAUUAGGAAGAACACCAGUGGCGAAGGCGGAUUACUGGACGAUAACUGACGGUGAGGCGCGAAAGCGUGGGGAGCAAACAGGAUUAGAUACCCUGGUAGUCCACGCUGUAAAC
Molecule: ribosomal RNA, 245 nt
Filed under: uncultured bacterium
Lineage: Bacteria
Description: partial 16S ribosomal RNA
Rfam family: Bacterial small subunit ribosomal RNA
Source: RNAcentral